Oryzias latipes (Japanese medaka) is the source of this 913-nucleotide non-coding RNA. NCBI's taxonomy places the organism in Eukaryota, Metazoa, Chordata, Actinopteri, Beloniformes, Adrianichthyidae. The record is from RefSeq and is a predicted model, not a curated record.
GUCAACCUGCGAAAACAGUUUUAUUUUGACCUGGACAGACAGACGCCACGGAUGCUGAUCUUGUUGAGACAGAAGGCAGCACGAACCGGAAGGCUCUAUGCGACAUUCUGCACCUCUAUGAUAAACAGCAAGAACAGACUGCUGAUGUUAAUGGUACUCCUGUCCUGUACUGGCUUCCCAUAUACAAACGUGAGGAGGACCCACAGUUCUUCAAAGUUUGGAAUCUCAUCUGUGCUCCUGUACCUGACCGUGGACCUCGCCUCUGACUCGUCUGGGGCCCACAGCCGUCCCCUAUUUCAUCUGGAUGACGCCAAUCUGCUGGACUUUAAAAAUGCAGUUGUUGAACUAGAAAAUGUAAUUCUUUAAGAGUUCUGGAACAUCGCCUGUCCGUCCUGGGGGAGGAGUCUUUUUUUAUUUAUUUUUUUAAAGGAGUUUUCCUUACUGUGUAAGAGGGAUCUAAUGGCAGGGAUGCCCAGUUUGGUUUAGUCUGUUUAGUUUAGUCAAUACCUAAUGUAUUAUGAUUUCAUGUUCUUGUACAAUUGCCGGUAUGAAGCCCAUGGAGACGACUUUUGUUGUGACAUAGGACUAUAUAAAUAAAAUUGAACUGAAUCUUUGCUCUUAAGUUGCAUUGGCAAGAAGGUGACAUUCUUUCCAGCAGGUUGUGUCAUUGUUAUGGAGACGUUCUGAGCUGUAGUUGAAAAACUGCCCCAUAACAGAGACACAACCUGGUGGAGAGUAACGAGUGCUAACUGUGAGAGCAUGAAAUCAGGAAAGAGUUCCAGAGGGUGAAUACUAGGUAAGCAGCUGGGUCGGAUGGAAUUCCUGGACGUGUCCUGAAAGGUACUGACCAUCCAGCACAAGCUGAGAGUUAUGUUGGUGAAACUGGUUAGGUGGAGGGAGGGGUGGGGUUUGG